GCAGCUGCGGUCCAUGGUGGAAGACUCCGAGGAUGCCGCGCCGGGGCUGCAGCCCGUGUAGUCCAUGCCCUCGUCUGUCUCGGCAUCCAUUAGGCUCGGGGGACCCUGGAAGAAAGUAGAGGGGCCCUAAGCCUGUGGGUAUGAGCACAGCAGCCGUGAGCCUCGCUCCAUGUGCUGGGCGCACCGGUGGCCUGGUUCAUAGGUAGGUGGCAUUUGGGGGGAAUACCUGUAGCCAGGUAUUCAUUCCAGGAAGCCCGAGUCUGCCUGGCUGUCUAAUCCCUGGCUUCCCCUCUGGCUGGUACAGGGGCCUGGUUCUAUAUACUCUAUAUACUCUUCUCCGAGAAGCCACAUGUCCACAGCAAGGGGCCUUCAGGAAAGGACCUCUCUCUAGCUAGCCGCCUUGUUUAGAUUGCUGGUCAGCUGGCCUCCACCCCGCCUCCACCCCCCUGCUCCUGCUUUGCUGAGAACAAACAGAGCGGGCAGGACCCAAACAGCAGCAGCUAAGGGCAGGCAGCAGCUAAGGGCAGGCAGCAGCUAAGGGCAGGCGAGGGCCUGCCCGUUGCCAUGGCACUGGGCUGGCCAAGUGUCUUAUGUCACCUCCCAGCUUUGUUUGGCCCCAGCUACUACCAAAACCACCAAAAGUUGAGUAAACAAGCUCGACUCCAGAUUCCCCCGACAGCUGCGAGCCCAGCCUGGUACAGCAGAGGCCGCCAGGUGUGGACACCUGUUGCUGUGGUUACCGGCCCUCCUCGGCCCUGGAUCCUUUCUGAACCAAUACCCGAAGGGAAGGUUUGCUUUCUUUCUCUUCUGGCAGUUAACUUGGAGUGUCUCACCCUUCACCUACGGAGGGCUCAGAAUGCAGCCUCCAUGGACUCCCCAGGCUCCUGACACCAUGGCCACGGGACACGGGAGAGGCCUGGCCAGUAGACACCACAUCCACCGACCCACCAUUCCCUGUCUUCCAGCUUCCGGUCUAUUCCUAGGAGAGUCCUGCCCCACAUGUGCAGGUCUAUAGAAAGCUGCCCCAUCCCAAGGCUAAACGGUAGGCUCUGCCCUCUGCCUGUGGGCCUGAGGCCCUUCCCUACAGGCUUCCCCAGUGCCUUGGGCCAGUGCAGGAAGGUGUCAGAGAGGCAUCAGAAGGCUGGGAAGCACCCAAAGCCUGUGUCUCCUGUUCAUCGCGUACUUCAGCAUUGCCUACGAUGUCCCCAUAACAGGGUGCUGGCACUAAGUACCCCUGUAAGCAUACGCUAAAUGCUUUAAAAAGUAAAUAAACAACUGAAAGGAACAAA
Rattus norvegicus (Norway rat) is the source of this 1289-nucleotide non-coding RNA. The record is from RefSeq and is a predicted model, not a curated record. NCBI's taxonomy places the organism in Eukaryota, Metazoa, Chordata, Mammalia, Rodentia, Muridae.